This 268-nucleotide ribosomal RNA is filed under the name uncultured Trebouxia photobiont. Its description in RNAcentral is "partial 18S ribosomal RNA". It matches the Rfam family "Eukaryotic small subunit ribosomal RNA", at positions 1566 to 1831 of the family's 1831-position model. Lineage: Eukaryota; Viridiplantae; Chlorophyta; Trebouxiophyceae; Trebouxiales; Trebouxiaceae. The record is from RNAcentral.
CGUGAUGGGGAUAGAUUAUUGCAAUUAUUAAUCUUCAACGAGGAAUGCCUAGUAAGCGCGAGUCAUCAGCUCGCGUUGAUUACGUCCCUGCCCUUUGUACACACCGCCCGUCGCUCCUACCGAUUGGGUGUGCUGGUGAAGCGUUCGGAUUGGCGUUAGUGGGCGGUUUUCCGCCUCCUCUCGCUGAGAAGUUCGUUAAACCCUCCCACCUAGAGGAAGGAGAAGUCGUAACAAGGUUUCCGUAGGUGAACCUGCGGAAGGAUCAUUG